Ribozyme from Xenopus tropicalis (tropical clawed frog), 312 nucleotides. It matches the Rfam family "Nuclear RNase P". Rfam says of the family: Ribonuclease P (RNase P) is a ubiquitous endoribonuclease, found in archaea, bacteria and eukarya as well as chloroplasts and mitochondria. NCBI's taxonomy places the organism in Eukaryota, Metazoa, Chordata, Amphibia, Anura, Pipidae. The record is from Ensembl.
GUGGAGGGAAGCUCGGUGCUGAGGCUACAGACAGAGUGUAGGGGUCACUCUAUGUGCCUCAGGGAAGGUCUGAGACUGGAGCUCCUAGUUGCCCCUGCAGGGCAUCCCUUGGAUGAAGGGGGUGGGUCCCCAGAGAACUUGGCUCUGAUUGGCCAGUGAGUGCAAAAGAUGCAGCAAGUACCCAAUGUUGUGCUUCUGCAGAUGCAAAGGCAUCAGGCUUGGCACUGCCCCACAGCUGGCACAUUUAAGCUCAAUGGCUGAGAGGGAACUGCCUGUGGUUUCCCAACCCAAUUCAGACUACUCUCCCUCCAC